AUUGAACGCUGGCGGCAUGCUUUACACAUGCAAGUCGAACGGCAGAGCGCGCCUCGGCCUGUGGGCGAGUGGCGAACGGGUGAGUAAUGCGUCGGAAAGUGCCCCGUAGUGGGGGAUAGCGCGGGGAAAACCGGAUUAAUAACGCGUACGUCCCGAGCGUGACAGCGGGGGACCGAAAGACCUCGCGCUAUUUGAGCGGCCGACGUCGGCUUAGCUAGUUGGUGGGGUAAAGGCUUACCAAGGCGACGAACCGUAGCUGGUCUGAGAGGACGACCAGCCACACUGGAGCUGAGACACGGCCCAGACUACUGCGGGAGGCAGCAGUCGGGAAUUUUGGACAAUGGGGGCAACCCUGAUCCAGCCAUGCCGCGUGCGAGAAGAAGGCCUUCGGGUUGUAAUGCGCGUUUGUUCGGGGGGAAAGCCUCUCAGCUAAUACCCUGGGAUGGUGACGGUACCGGCAGGAGAAGCACCGGCUAACUACGUG
Molecule: ribosomal RNA, 484 nt
Filed under: uncultured bacterium
Lineage: Bacteria
Description: partial 16S ribosomal RNA
Rfam family: Bacterial small subunit ribosomal RNA
Source: RNAcentral